GAUGUAGCUCAUAUGGUAGA
Molecule: non-coding RNA, 20 nt
Filed under: Arabidopsis thaliana (thale cress)
Lineage: Eukaryota; Viridiplantae; Streptophyta; Magnoliopsida; Brassicales; Brassicaceae
Source: RNAcentral